UUCAGUACCGCCUUUUAUCAUUCGAGGAAGGCCUUUCCCUUCUUCUUCUCCCUCUGCCUUGUCAAAGCCUUUGGGCCGAAGAAGGCCCUCAUCUUCCUUCCUACUUCUUUCAUCACGUCAGCAGUCUAAACCGUGAAGCUGCCGAAGACCCUUAAAGCAUGUAGUGGCAUACCGGUGGAGCUUCCGGUGGCGGUUCAGAGUCAGGAGAAAGCAUCUUGGAGUUGCUCCCAGCAAUGCUGCUUCUCACGACGUCAUAAACCCUGUAGGGCAGUCAAAUGCUGGUGGUUGAUGCUAGAUUUUGAUUGUCUUUUAAGGCCUCUUUUUUGAGGACAGGGUGGUCAUAUAGAGCAGGAAGGUUGCCAAGAAGAACAGAAUGAGAUCAUGAACUGUUGGAACACACACAUCAAAAGAAAGCUGUUGAGCCUGAGACAAGAUUCACAGACCACUGGAUGAACCGUGCUCUGGCUGUCUGAAGUCGUAACCCUUCCGGCUGCAGUUUCUGUUCCCUGCACGAUUUGCAGGAGCAUGGAGGAUGCCAACAUCCAGAAGAAGGCAGAUUCUGCAGAAGAGUCGGGCAGCGGGGUCAGUUUGGAGGAGGAAGCCCACUCCAAGCAACCUUUUGAUAUGGGAGAGCCAGAUUGAUAUGGUGGAAGUCGGUGAACUCUAAACUCAAGCAUGUAUUUCGAUGACUAGGUAGCUCCAAAAAGCCCACCAGCUACUGUUAUGCAUCAUCUUCCAUGUUAGGCAACUGAGAAGCAGUCUUAUUUGGAAAAAUGAAAAGGAAACGAUGAGAUCAUUUUUCGGGUAGAAUGGUGUAUUUAUGUACCAUUAAUUUGGCCAAUGAUCUGGCAGCUGGGAACCAACAGUCUGAAAUUCACCAAACCGGGGUUUAUAUUAUGGAUGAGAAACUGUAAGCACGCUGCAAGGAUUUGGUUUUCUUGUUGCUGGAGCACGGCAGGUAGCUGAAGAAGGAAGUUUGAAACAAACCUUGACAAUUACAAGUGAUAAAACCAAUCUUAAUUCUUAUUCCAACAGUGGAGUGGACAGCAGUGCAGUGUGCUUCAAUAUUCAACCAUCAACACCAUGUAAAACUUUCAAGACGGAGGGAACAAAAGGUUGCACUUGCGAAAAGCCA
Molecule: long non-coding RNA, 1135 nt
Organism: Nymphaea colorata (pocket water lily)
Lineage: Eukaryota; Viridiplantae; Streptophyta; Magnoliopsida; Nymphaeales; Nymphaeaceae
Exons: 2
Source: RefSeq, a predicted model, not a curated record